This 589-nucleotide ribosomal RNA is filed under the name uncultured bacterium. RNAcentral describes it as "bacterial SSU rRNA". It matches the Rfam family "Bacterial small subunit ribosomal RNA", at positions 57 to 642 of the family's 1533-position model. The record is from RNAcentral.
GCAGUCAGGGGCAGCGCGGGGUAGCAAUACUCUGGCGGCGACCGGCGGAAGGGUGCGUAACACGUGAGCGACUUGCCCGAUACAGGGAGAUAACCGGUGGAAACGCCGACUAAUAUCCCAUAGGACAUGUGACUGCAUGGUCGCAUGUUGAAAGGUUCGCCGGUAUCGGAUAGGCUCGCGGGACAUUAGCUUGAUGGCGGGGCAACGGCCCACCAUGGCGACGAUGUCUAGGGGUUCUGAGAGGAAGACCCCCCACACUGGGACUGAGACACGGCCCAGACUCCUACGGGAGGCAGCAGUGAGGAAUAUUGGUCAAUGGGCGGAAGCCUGAACCAGCCAUGCCGCGUGAAGGACUAAGGCCCUAUGGGUCGUAAACUUCUUUAGACGCAGAGCAAUAAGGGCCUCGCGAGGUCCGAUGAGAGUAUGCGUAGAAUAAGCAUCGGCUAACUCCGUGCCAGCAGCCGCGGUAAUACGGGGGAUGCGAGCGUUAUCCGGAUUUAUUGGGUUUAAAGGGUGCGUAGGCGGCGAAUUAAGUCAGCGGUGAAAGACCGGGGCUCAACCCUGGAAGUGCCGUUGAUACUGAUUGGCU